CUAUAAGUGUGAACCUGUUUUUUACAUUGCAGUGCAAUUGAACUGAUGAUGAUGCUUGAUUUUCAGACAAGAUGUACCAUGAAAUAUGAUCACAGCAAUACUUGCCUGAAGGUUAAAGUUACUGAUGACAGAGCUUGUGUCCAGUACAAAACCGACAGUCAACAAGAACUGCGGAAACUUGAGAAACUCAUAAGCAACAUGAUGAAGCACAUGGCAUCAGGAGAAAGAUAACCGAAGGAUUUGUACCCAGAAUCUUAGGCUACAUUUUUUGUAUGAUACUGAAAAUAAAAUGCUCUAAAAUAUUUAAAUUAUUUUGUCUUUUUGUUUAGAUAUAAAGAUGUAAGUAGCACCAUCCAUUAAUAACAUAUAACCAGAUAAAAUAUAAGUAGCACCAUCCAAACACGUAACCAUGACAGACUCACUUUUACUUGAAACAUGGAAUGCUUUUUAUUACUGAACUUGGUAUAACCCAGGUCUAACACAAAAUCAUUCUAGUUUCAGCAUGCAUCAUUAAAUAAUACUGUCUUAACUAUAAUAUUGUACAUGUACUUAACCUAUAUAUGACAAUAUAUACAUACCUAUAUGUACAUACAAAAGAUUAACAGUAAUAGUUGGCUGCAAGUCCUUCUAAAAUUACCCUUUCCCAACCAUA
This is a long non-coding RNA of Macrobrachium nipponense, 652 nucleotides long. RefSeq lists it as uncharacterized. NCBI's taxonomy places the organism in Eukaryota, Metazoa, Arthropoda, Malacostraca, Decapoda, Palaemonidae. The record is from RefSeq and is a predicted model, not a curated record. The transcript is spliced from 2 exons.